GAGGACUUAAGGAAGCUCAAGUGGGAUUGUAGCAAUGAUGAAGAAGAAGAAUUGAAUGAGGAUUUGUGGAAUGAAUUAAAUGAGGAGUUGGGGAAUGUCAGGUGGGAUGAAAUUCAUCAGGCGCUCAUGAGCUUCAGGGGGGCGUGCUUGUUUGACGCCAAGCAGUUAGCCAUGAAGACCGACGAGUACCUAGCUUGCUUGGAGGAGAACAUGAAGUUUAUCCGGGAGAUGCGGCAACCAAUAAUACCAGAUUAGUUUUGACAGCCAUUUAGGUUAUGAAAGAAACUCCUGUCACAUGUGGACAAGCCAUGGAUGAACCAGAUCUUAUGCCAAACAAGGAUGACUUUUCCCCAAUUGGAACACUUCCUGGUUCAUCACUUUUGGGAAUCAUGGCAGCGAAGAUGCUAACACCUGGAGCCAUGACAUCUGGCUGGAAAACAGAUUAGUGAAAGAAACAGUGAGUGUGUUGUUCUCAAGAUGCUUAUGUUAAUUCUUGGUUCAUGGAUGUGAAAUGAACUGCAUUUAGGAACAAAAAGUUGAAAACUACCUUGAGAAUGUUUUCUGUAAGGCUUGAAGGGCCUCUUGAUGAGAAAGAUGCAACAACUGGUGAAGGCUUAUAUCUAGGAACUUCUACUGUUGGAAGAACUGUUGCAGUUGGGUUUCUGUAUAGAAGGCAUCAUAGACUCAGCAUUUAGUUAAAAGUUAUUUUUAUCUCUUAGGUCA
This is a long non-coding RNA of Lotus japonicus, 723 nucleotides long. RefSeq lists it as uncharacterized. The record is from RefSeq and is a predicted model, not a curated record. NCBI's taxonomy places the organism in Eukaryota, Viridiplantae, Streptophyta, Magnoliopsida, Fabales, Fabaceae. The transcript has 2 exons.